Molecule: ribosomal RNA, 1343 nt
Filed under: uncultured bacterium
Lineage: Bacteria
Description: 16S ribosomal RNA
Rfam family: Bacterial small subunit ribosomal RNA
Source: RNAcentral
GACGAACGCUGGCGGCGUACUUAACACAUGCAAGUCGAACGGAAAGGCCCUGCUUUUGUGGGGUGCUCGAGUGGCGAACGGGUGAGUAACACGUGAGUAACCUGCCCUUGACUUUGGGAUAACUUCAGGAAACUGGGGCUAAUACCGGAUAGGAGCUCCUGCUGCAUGGUGGGGGUUGGAAAGUUUCGGCGGUUGGGGAUGGACUCGCGGCUUAUCAGCUUGUUGGUGGGGUAGUGGCUUACCAAGGCUUUGACGGGUAGCCGGCCUGAGAGGGUGACCGGCCACAUUGGGACUGAGAUACGGCCCAGACUCCUACGGGAGGCAGCAGUGGGGAAUAUUGCACAAUGGGCGGAAGCCUGAUGCAGCAACGCCGCGUGCGGGAUGACGGCCUUCGGGUUGUAAACCGCUUUCGCCUGUGACGAAGCGUGAGUGACGGUAAUGGGUAAAGAAGCACCGGCUAACUACGUGCCAGCAGCCGCGGUGAUACGUAGGGUGCGAGCGUUGUCCGGAUUUAUUGGGCGUAAAGGGCUCGUAGGUGGUUGAUCGCGUCGGAAGUGUAAUCUUGGGGCUUAACCCUGAGCGUGCUUUCGAUACGGGUUGACUUGAGGAAGGUAGGGGAGAAUGGAAUUCCUGGUGGAGCGGUGGAAUGCGCAGAUAUCAGGAGGAACACCAGUGGCGAAGGCGGUUCUCUGGGCCUUUCCUGACGCUGAGGAGCGAAAGCGUGGGGAGCGAACAGGCUUAGAUACCCUGGUAGUCCACGCUGUAAACGGUGGGUACUAGGUGUGGGGUCCAUUCCACGGGUUCCGUGCCGUAGCUAACGCUUUAAGUACCCCGCCUGGGGAGUACGGCCGCAAGGCUAAAACUCAAAGGAAUUGACGGGGCCCCGCACAAGCGGCGGAGCAUGCGGAUUAAUUCGAUGCAACGCGUAGAACCUUACCUGGGUUUGACAUGGAUCGGGAGUGCUCAGAGAUGGGUGUGCCUCUUUUGGGGUCGGUUCACAGGUGGUGCAUGGCUGUCGUCAGCUCGUGUCGUGAGAUGUUGGGUUAAGUCCCGCAACGAGCGCAACCCUUGUUCACUGUUGCCAGCACGUUAUGGUGGGGACUCAGUGGAGACCGCCGGGGUCAACUCGGAGGAAGGUGGGGAUGACGUCAAGUCAUCAUGUCCCUUAUGUCCAGGGCUUCACGCAUGCUACAAUGGCUGGUACAGAGAGUGGCGAGCCUGUGAGGGUGAGCGAAUCUCGGAAAGCCGGUCUCAGUUCGGAUUGGGGUCUGCAACUCGACCUCAUGAAGUCGGAGUCGCUAGUAAUCGCAGAUCAGCAACGCUGCGGUGAAUACGUUCCCGGG